Molecule: ribosomal RNA, 468 nt
Filed under: uncultured bacterium
Lineage: Bacteria
Description: partial 16S ribosomal RNA
Rfam family: Bacterial small subunit ribosomal RNA
Source: RNAcentral
GACGAACGCUGGCGGCGUGCUUAACACAUGCAAGUCGAACGGAAAGGCCCUGCUUUUGUGGGGUGCUCGAGUGGCGAACGGGUGAGUAACACGUGAGUAACCUGCCCUUGACUUUGGGAUAACUUCAGGAAACUGGGGCUAAUACCGGAUUGGAGCUCCUGCUGCAUGGUGGGGGUUGGAAAGUUUCGGCGGUUGGGGAUGGACUCGCGGCUUAUCAGCUUGUUGGUGGGGUAGUGGCUUACCAAGGCUUUGACGGGUAGCCGGCCUGAGAGGGUGACCGGCCACGUUGGGACUGAGAUACGGCCCAGACUCCUACGGGAGGCAGCAGUGGGGAAUAUUGCACAAUGGGCGGAAGCCUGAUGCAGCAACGCCGCGUGCGGGAUGACGGCCUUCGGGUUGUAAACCGCUUUCGCCUGUGACGAAGCGUGAGUGACGGUAAUGGGUAAAGAAGCACCGGCUAACUACGUG